GAUGAACGCUGGCGGCGUGCCUAAUACAUGCAAGUCGAGCGAACAGAUGAGGAGCUUGCUCCUCUGACGUUAGCGGCGGACGGGUGAGUAACACGUGGAUAACCUACCUAUAAGACUGGGAUAACUUCGGGAAACCGGAGCUAAUACCGGAUAAUAUAUUGAACCGCAUGGUUCAAUAGUGAAAGACGGUUUUGCUGUCACUUAUAGAUGGAUCCGCGCCGCAUUAGCUAGUUGGUAAGGUAACGGCUUACCAAGGCAACGAUGCGUAGCCGACCUGAGAGGGUGAUCGGCCACACUGGAAGUGAGACACGGUCCAGACUCCUACGGGAGGCAGCAGUAGGGAAGCUUCCGCAAUGGGCGAAAGCUUGACGGAGCAACGCCGCGUGAGUGAUGAAGGUCUUCGGAUCGUAAAACUCUGUUAUUAGGGAAGAACAAAUGUGUAAGUAACUAUGCACGUCUUGACGGUACCUAAUCAGAAAGCCACGGCUAACUACGUG
This 497-nucleotide ribosomal RNA is filed under the name uncultured bacterium. RNAcentral's name for it is "partial 16S ribosomal RNA". It matches the Rfam family "Bacterial small subunit ribosomal RNA", at positions 28 to 507 of the family's 1533-position model. The record is from RNAcentral.